This 447-nucleotide ribosomal RNA is filed under the name uncultured bacterium. RNAcentral's name for it is "bacterial SSU rRNA". It matches the Rfam family "Bacterial small subunit ribosomal RNA", at positions 355 to 825 of the family's 1533-position model. The record is from RNAcentral.
UCGGGAAUUUUGGGCAAUGGGCGAAAGCCUGACCCAGCAACGCCGCGUGAGUGACGAAGGCCUUAGGGUUGUAAAACUCUUUCGUCGGGGACGAUAAUGACGGUACCCGAAGAAGAAGCUCCGGCUAACUUCGUGCCAGCAGCCGCGGUAAUACGAAGGGAGCUAGCGUUGUUCGGAAUCACUGGGCGUAAAGCGCACGUAGGCGGAUAGUUAAGUCAGGGGUGAAAUCCUGGGGCUCAACCCCAGAACUGCCUUUGAUACUGGCUGUCUCGAGGUCGAGAGAGGUUGGUGGAAUUCCUAGUGUAGAGGUGAAAUUCGUAGAUAUUAGGAAGAACACCAGUGGCGAAGGCGGCCAACUGGCUCGAUACUGACGCUGAGGUGCGAAAGCGUGGGGAGCAAACAGGAUUAGAUACCCCGGUAGUCCCUGAGCGGGCUGGCAAGGCGCAU